Molecule: long non-coding RNA, 746 nt
Organism: Gigantopelta aegis
Lineage: Eukaryota; Metazoa; Mollusca; Gastropoda; Neomphalida; Peltospiridae
Exons: 3
Source: RefSeq, a predicted model, not a curated record
AGUUGGGGGCCCUAGCCUGUUAUAGCCAAUAGCCAAUGAUGUGGUUUUAUUAUAUCACGUGAUGUUUCAUGUAACGUCCGUGCAACAUUCACACAAACAACACCAUAAGAUUUUGAUUAAGUAAAAUAGGUCUGUUGGUCUUUUUCCGAUUCAUCGCCAUUAUUCACUAAACAGCACAGGUUUGAAUAAUAUGCAUGUACUGGUGGUUUUAAUUUGGCACAUUAUAAAUUGUAUAAAUAUAUCUAGUAAACUGUAACUAAUGAGUAAAUGAACAUGUAUUAAAGUAAUUUAUAAGUUUCAUUUUAAUCAUUUUAAACAAAAGUAGUAAUGAGUAAAAGGUAUUUAAUUAAAACUAGUUAUUCUAAUCAUAGUAAAAAAUCACAUCUCAUUUUAAUUAAAACUAAAGUAAAGUAUUAUUCUGUAUUGGUACGAUAGAUUAUAAAGUGUUUUUUAUUUAUAGGUUUCGAUGUGACAAUUCUUUGAUCUAUGUGAGACUCAUCGCCCACAGUGAAGGUUGCUACAGUGGAUGAUCGAUGAAUUGUCUCCGAUUAAUUUGCAGACCGAAUCGGCUGUGGUGCUGGGAAGUUUGUCUAAAGGAACUGAUGAGAACAUUAACGCCAUUGUAAAUGCUGGAUGUGUAUCAGUCUUGUUGAAAGGUUUGUCCAACCCAAACUUGAAGUAUGUGGAAGUGUGUCUUAGAUGUCUGUGAACAAUUUUCAUGUGCAAUAAAACAGCUACAGACCUAG